Prunus avium (sweet cherry) is the source of this 1317-nucleotide non-coding RNA. Lineage: Eukaryota; Viridiplantae; Streptophyta; Magnoliopsida; Rosales; Rosaceae. The record is from RefSeq and is a predicted model, not a curated record.
ACCUAUAUAUAUAUUAGGCGGCAGUUUUAUCCCUACAUUUAUUUUAUUUACAGUAUCGUGUAAGUUUAUUACUCAUACAUCGAAUUUAUUUUUAUUUUAAAGUAUGGAGUAGAAUUAGUACCCAUUCAAGUACAUUUAUUUUAUCGCACAUGUACUUUAUUAUUUAAAGUAUGGUGCAAAAUUAACGUCCAUACAACAAGCAAUUAAUUUAUGAAUUUAUUUUACCUUACUUUUAUUUAAAGUGUGGUGUAGGUUUAUCAUCUAUACAAGCAACAUUUAUUUUGUGAAUUUAUUUUACAAGUUCAUUAUGAUGAAUUGUAGAUCAUGCAAGAAAUCAGAAAGUUCCUUGAUGAUGAAAUAAUAUGAGAGCUAACAGUCUCUUUGGUAUUAUAUUUGUGAAAAAGUGAUCGGACAUGGAGAUCAGGUUGGAGUUGGCUCGCUUAAGGAUGCGGAAAUAGGAAGUCUGGAGCAGAAACGACCGGUCGUCAGUUCCGGAAACGACUGGUCGCCCAAACCCGAGAGCAACGAGUUAGUCCCCUAAAAACACUGCCAGGCUUCUUGCUAAAAUGACCACUGCUGAAUCUUUCCUUCUUUCAUUGUCGGAGUCUUGCACAAAGUUACCGAAAAGGCAUCGGAAAGGAGUGGCCCAAGAUUUCUCACAUCCCAAACAUCACAUUUGGCCCUGAUCAUGAUGAUGAGGAUGAGGAUGAUGGGAUUCUACAAGAAAAGGAUGUGGCAAUCUUAUCCACCUCUUCUGUAGCUCAGCAUGAUAUUCUUGAAGAAGCAAUGUCGACGUAAGAUAUCCCAUCUUCUCUAGGCUUCCCUCGCCUCAUCAUCUUGUACCAUCAAAAGGGCGGACGCACAAGGGAGCAAAGGGGGUCACUGACCUACUGUUUUCAGAAAAUUUGUUCUCUGAGUUUUUGAACACCGGUCACCACCUCAUCUCUGGAGCUUGAAGUAAUCAGAGAGCUUUAGCGAACCAAUGGGAGCGCAUGGAGCAUGAUGAAUGUGGUUUGCCUUUAUAAAUGCAGAAAAAGCAUGAAAGGAGAAGGCGAAAAACCAGUGCGAGAAAUCAGAAUGAGGAGCUACAGAGGUUACAUUUAGCCUCUGAGAUGAAAAUACUGUUAUGCAAGGAACAUUACCCUCACAACAAGAGUUACAGGAUAAGAAAAGAAAAUCAUGUCUUGUGUAAGUUGUGUUAUAGUGCAUUUAUGCUAUAUGUUAAGCAAUGUUUUAUUAUGUGGCUUGAAACAGCUUUUGCCUUAAAAAAAUUCUAUCACUUCGUGUUAAAUUUCUAUGAAUAAUUCUUCAAAAUUC